GACGAACCGUGCAAACGUUAUUCGGAAUCACUGGGCUUAAAGGGCGCGUAGGCGGGUAACCAAGUCCGGGGUGAAAUCCUCCAGCUUAACUGGAGAAGUGCCUCGGAUACUGGUCGUCUCGAGGAGGGUAGGGGCAUCUGGAACUAGCGGUGGAGCGGUGAAAUGCGUUGAUAUCAGGAAGAACACCGGUGGCGAAAGCGCUCUGCUAGGCCGCAACUGACACUGAGGGACGAAAGCUAGGGGAGCGAAUGGG
Molecule: ribosomal RNA, 253 nt
Filed under: uncultured bacterium
Lineage: Bacteria
Description: partial 16S ribosomal RNA
Rfam family: Bacterial small subunit ribosomal RNA
Source: RNAcentral